Molecule: ribosomal RNA, 677 nt
Filed under: Acinetobacter baumannii OIFC109
Lineage: Bacteria; Pseudomonadati; Pseudomonadota; Gammaproteobacteria; Moraxellales; Moraxellaceae
Also listed under: 2 other names
Description: bacterial SSU rRNA
Rfam family: Bacterial small subunit ribosomal RNA
Source: RNAcentral
AUUGAACGCUGGCGGCAGGCUUAACACAUGCAAGUCGAGCGGGGGAAGGUAGCUUGCUACCGGACCUAGCGGCGGACGGGUGAGUAAUGCUUAGGAAUCUGCCUAUUAGUGGGGGACAACAUCUCGAAAGGGAUGCUAAUACCGCAUACGUCCUACGGGAGAAAGCAGGGGAUCUUCGGACCUUGCGCUAAUAGAUGAGCCUAAGUCGGAUUAGCUAGUUGGUGGGGUAAAGGCCUACCAAGGCGACGAUCUGUAGCGGGUCUGAGAGGAUGAUCCGCCACACUGGGACUGAGACACGGCCCAGACUCCUACGGGAGGCAGCAGUGGGGAAUAUUGGACAAUGGGGGGAACCCUGAUCCAGCCAUGCCGCGUGUGUGAAGAAGGCCUUAUGGUUGUAAAGCACUUUAAGCGAGGAGGAGGCUACUUUAGUUAAUACCUAGAGAUAGUGGACGUUACUCGCAGAAUAAGCACCGGCUAACUCUGUGCCAGCAGCCGCGGUAAUACAGAGGGUGCGAGCGUUAAUCGGAUUUACUGGGCGUAAAGCGUGCGUAGGCGGCUUAUUAAGUCGGAUGUGAAAUCCCCGAGCUUAACUUGGGAAUUGCAUUCGAUACUGGUGAGCUAGAGUAUGGGAGAGGAUGGUAGAAUUCCAGGUGUAGCGGUGAAAUGCGUAGAGAUCU